GCCAUGCAGUGGGACUGAAACUGGAACUAUGAAGAUAUUUUCUGAAUCAUGUAUCACAUGCUUAUGCAUCCAGAUUAUAAUCUUCUGAAUACCAUUAAACAACAAGAGAACAAAUAUGGAAAAUGGAUAUAUAUAUAUAUAUAUAUAUAUAUAUAUAUAUAUA
Molecule: long non-coding RNA, 163 nt
Organism: Octopus sinensis (East Asian common octopus)
Lineage: Eukaryota; Metazoa; Mollusca; Cephalopoda; Octopoda; Octopodidae
Exons: 2
Source: RefSeq, a predicted model, not a curated record